CCUACGGGUGGCAGCAGUGGGGAAUGUUGCGCAAUGCUCGUAAGAGUGACGCAGCGACGCCGCGUGAAUGACGAAGGCCUUCGGGUCGUAAAGUUCUUUCGACAGGGAAGAAAAUGCCUAUAAGUAACUGUGUAUGUAUUGACGGUACCGGUAGAAGCAGCACCGGCUAACUCCGUGCCAGCAGCCGCGGUAAUACGGAGGGGGCGAGCGUUGUGCGGAGUGACUGGGCGUAACGAGCACGUAGGCGGUGUUGUAAGUCAUUAGUCAAAGACUAGCGCUCAACUUUAGUACGGCUAGUGAUACUCUCAUCCUAGAGUAUCAGAGAGGAUUGCCGACUUCCUGGUGUAGCGGUUA
RNAcentral lists this ribosomal RNA (354 nucleotides) under uncultured bacterium. RNAcentral describes it as "partial 16S ribosomal RNA". It matches the Rfam family "Bacterial small subunit ribosomal RNA", at positions 338 to 684 of the family's 1533-position model. The record is from RNAcentral.